GAAAUGCGAUAAGUAGUGUGAAUUGCAGAAUUCAGUGAAUCAUCGAAUCUUUGAACGCACAUUGCGCCCCUCGGCAUUCCGUGGGGCAUGCCUGUUCGAGCGUCAUCUACACCCUCAAGCUCUGCUUGGUGUUGGGCGUCUGUCCCGCCUCCGCGCGCGGACUCGCCCCAAAUGCAUUGGCAGCGGUUCCUUGCCCCCCUCUUUGCGCACCACAUUGCCAUUCGAGGCGGCGGCGGCCCGCGUCCAACAAGCUCAACCCCCCCGUCUUUGACCUCGGAUCAGGUAGGGAUACCCGCUGAACUUAAGC
This 307-nucleotide unclassified non-coding RNA is filed under the name plant metagenome. Its description in RNAcentral is "partial contains 5.8S ribosomal RNA, internal transcribed spacer 2, and large subunit ribosomal RNA". The stretch from base 1 to 105 matches the Rfam family "5.8S ribosomal RNA", at positions 50 to 154 of the family's 154-position model. The record is from RNAcentral.